GCUCGUGUCGUGAGAUGUUCGGUUAAGUCCGCUAACGAGCGCAACCCUCGUCGUAUGUUAUAUGUGUCAUACGAGACUGCCGGUAAAAAGCCGGAGGAAGGUGAGGAUGAUGUCAAGUCAGCAUGACCUUUAUAUCCAGGGCUACACACACGCUACAAUGGUCUGUACAAUGGGUAGCCAAGCCGCGAGGCGGAGCCAAUCCUGAAAGCAGGCCUCAGUUCAGAUUGCAGUCUGCAACUCGACUGCAUGAAGCCGGAGUUGCUAGUAACCGCAGGUCAGCAAUACUGCGGUGAAUACGUUCCCGGGUCUU
This 310-nucleotide ribosomal RNA is filed under the name uncultured Anaerolineaceae bacterium. Its description in RNAcentral is "bacterial SSU rRNA". It matches the Rfam family "Bacterial small subunit ribosomal RNA", at positions 1058 to 1382 of the family's 1533-position model. The record is from RNAcentral. Lineage: Bacteria; Bacillati; Chloroflexota; Anaerolineae; Anaerolineales; Anaerolineaceae.